UACGUAGGGAGCGAGCGUUGUUCGGAAUUAUUGGGCGUAAAGGGCGCGUAGGCGGCCGGUCAAGUCAGAUGUGAAAGUCCUGGGCUUAACCUGGGGACUGCAUUUGAUACUGAUUGGCUUGAAUUCGGGAGAGGAUAGCGGAAUUCCCAGUGUAGAGGUGAAAUUCGUAGAUAUUGGGAAGAACACCGGUGGCGAAGGCGGCUAUCUGGGCCGACAUUGACGCUGAUGCGCGAAAGCGUGGGGAGCAAACAGG
RNAcentral lists this ribosomal RNA (253 nucleotides) under uncultured bacterium. RNAcentral's name for it is "partial 16S ribosomal RNA". It matches the Rfam family "Bacterial small subunit ribosomal RNA", at positions 524 to 776 of the family's 1533-position model. The record is from RNAcentral.